This is a long non-coding RNA of Gallus gallus (chicken), 2364 nucleotides long. Lineage: Eukaryota; Metazoa; Chordata; Aves; Galliformes; Phasianidae. The record is from Ensembl.
GGAGGAAAAAGGGAAAGGAAGGGGGAGAUGCGGACGGAGGAACACAGCGGCAGUGUAAAGAGGUGGAGGUGAAGAUGCCUCUUCCUCUCCAGGCACGCACACUUGCCUUCGCCUAUCGAGUGACGAGGACGUUGAGGGGUCGUCGUGUGCCCCCCCCUCCCCCAAAGCGCCCCGUCCUUCCACGCCCGCAGCCCGAGAAGCAGCCAGGCCGCCCGGCGCUGCGGCGGGGGUUGCAGUACCUGAACACACUUUUGCAACGAUGGAUGAAUUAACUUCGGAACCCCCCGCUGCUAUGAACGCAGCACCCUCGCACACACAGGGUUCGCUGGUGCCGGUGCCCGCUUGCAGGCUGCACUCCGACGAAACGACGCAGCCGGGCAGUGGGGAACGUCCGAAGUGAACCGCAGCGGUGUGAGCGGUGGUAAAUAACGACGUUAAUCACCACCACUGCCCGCUCGGCACCGCACGCUCCUCUCCGGCUGUUUGGUUUCGUUGACGUGGUAUUCCCCAUCCCAGCCCGGCCAGGGGUUCGCUGUCACCCCUCGGUCGGGGAAUGCCGCAGGUGACAAUGCCAGGUGCGGGGGCACCGUGGGGCCCGGAUCCCGGGGCAGCAUGGCUCGGGCAACGCGGGGAAGGAGCUCCCCCCUGCAGCCCAUGGGAGAGGGGCCAGAAGCCGUGCACCGGCCGAGGCGGAACGCGGUGAAUCGGCUGUGUAAGCGUAACCACGCUCUGGACAUGCCGUGCUGCCUCCUAAUAGUGACAUUCACCAUCCGGCUUGGGCAGCGGGCACUUCAAUCCUUCCAGCUCUGCCUUGGCAAAUAGGCAGCGAGACCUCUCCUUCCCCAGAGAGAAACCUCUCACCACCCCGCAAAGCUGUCUGCGGGAGGACGAGACCCUGGAAGAGGCUCCAUCCAUCUCCCUGCGAGCGGAGCGCCGGGGGUUUCUCCGAGGAACCCCCCCACAGCCCAACCCCGAAGGGUUCGCGGAGGCUGUCGGCGCGGCUCAAGUUCGGCACUCGCUAAUGGAUGUUGUAGGCACAAGAUGUUCGGUAGACUUGGGCAAGUUGUUCCCGGGAUGUAAAUUAGGUCCCAAAAGCUGUUGUCCAAAUCGAAGAAACAGAGAAAUUAAUCUGGGAGACUAUCCAUCAUAGGCUGUAAUAAAGGGAGCGACACGGAUGAGACAGAUGAUAUGAUUAAGGAGCUGUGGUCGUUUUAAUUAACUUUUUGCUGUCCUGUAAUGAUCAAACUGGUCAACAGACCCGGUCAAUAAGCAUGUUAAUAUCAAACAAAUAAAACCAGGGAUGAUUAAAAACCUCCUGGUUUAUUAAAUUUGAAAUUCAAAUGAAAUUUAUGCUGCAGAUGCAUACAGAAUGCUAAUAGAUUGUAGCUUUAUUGAGAGUGGAUCCCACAGGUUUUCAAGAAACAGCGCGAACAUUUAUCUACUCCCGUACAUUACGCUUCAAACGGCAAGAAAAAAAAAAAAAAAAAAAGAAAAGUUUUAAUUAAUUUCGGGAAAACCUCUGCUUGUUGGCUCCCCCCUCCUUCGCCAAGCUGAUGGACUGCAGCCUUAAGCGCCGUGGUCAAUAAGGCAAUGCAAACCAAACCCUACGCUUUCUUAAAUCCUGCGCCCACCCAGCAGCGGUGGACUCACAGGGGAAGGCGGCGGAGCGGCUCACAGCUCACAAAGUUCAGCAGCCGCCGAUUUCCCAGUUUCAGUGAAACUCGGAGCGGCUGGAGAACGGCACUGACAGCACUGCUGUGAUUUCUGCUCGGUUCUAAAGGAUUUGCCUUUUUCCUCCCUCUGUGUUGAGCUCCCCCGUACAAACUCCCACGACUAUUUUUACAACGAGUUUUUUUUUUUUUUUUCUUCCAUGGUUUCCAGAGCGGCGCUUUUAAAGGAAAAGCGCGCUGAAAACCCACGACUUCCAGCCCCAAAUUAAAAAGCCGGGACGAGCCUUAAGGCAAGCGUAAAAAAGCCCGAGCGAGGGCACGUUCCCUCCGGCCGGCCGUGCGCGGGCAGAACGCGGAGCCGAAGGGAAGAGCCACCCGGAGCGGCUCUCCUCGAGAGAUCCAUCAGCAGCGCCGACCCUGAGCGCUCCGGGGCUGAAAGGGGCGCGUGUCGGUCUCUAUGCGGAUACCCGGCACGCCGCAAAAUGGGAUUUUCUGUGCCUCUAAAAUGUAGCGCUCUCGAUGCUUGUUUUGCUCUUACGCUUUCUGAUCUAUGUCUUAAUAGUUCCUCCCCACCUCCAGCAGAUAAAGGAAGCGGAGGUAAAAAGUUAAUAAGCAUUCAUGCAAGGGAGUAUCCCCGGGAAAUGUUCUUCCCCCCUUUGCGGGUGAUAGUAUUGAUUAAAUUAAACCCGAAAUU